This 67-nucleotide transfer RNA is filed under the name Marmota monax (woodchuck). Its description in RNAcentral is "tRNA.Thr". Lineage: Eukaryota; Metazoa; Chordata; Mammalia; Rodentia; Sciuridae. The record is from RNAcentral.
GGUUGUGGCUCAGUGGUAGAGUGCUCGCCUAGUAAGUACAAGGUACUGAGUUUGAUCCUCAGCACUA